AGUGAACGCUGGCGGUAGGCCUAACACAUGCAAGUCGAACGGCAGCACAGUAAGAGCUUGCUCCUACGGGUGGCGAGUGGCGGACGGGUGAGGAAUACAUCGGAAUCUACUUUUUCGUGGGGGAUAACGCAGGGAAACUUACGCUAAUACCGCAUAUGACCUACGGGUGAAAGCAGUGGAUCUUCGGACCUUGCGCGACUGAAUGAGCCGACGUCGGAUUAGCUAGUUGGCGAGGUAAAGGCCCACCAAGGCGACGAUGCGUAGCUGGUCUGAGAGGAUGAUCGGCCACACUGGAACUGAGACACGGUCCAGACUCCUACGGGAGGCAGCAGUGGGGAAUAUUGGACAAUGGGCGCAAGCCUGAUCCAGCAAUACCGCGUGAGUGAAGAAGGCCUUCGGGUUGUAAAGCCCUUUUGUUGGGAAAGAAAAGCAGCAGGUUAAUCCCCCGCUGUUCUGACGGUACCCAAAGAAUAAGCACCGGCUAACUUCGUG
This 492-nucleotide ribosomal RNA is filed under the name uncultured bacterium. RNAcentral's name for it is "partial 16S ribosomal RNA". It matches the Rfam family "Bacterial small subunit ribosomal RNA", at positions 29 to 507 of the family's 1533-position model. The record is from RNAcentral.